CAGGAAAUCCAGGUGCUGGUGUUGUGGUCAUUUCUUUCACGUGGACCAUGUGGAACCUGGGGUGGAGGAGGUUGCUGCUACUGCACCGGCUCUAUUUUGGGAAGAGGUUUCCAGGAACCACUCUCCAUGUAGCCCUUGGAUUGUGUGUUGUUCAGUUCUCAGCUUUCUGAUGAUGGUGUACCUGUCCACCUUGAUGACCACAUGUGAAGAAAGGUCCCCGGUUUAAUGGACCAAAAGCACCAGCUGUGUGCUUGGCACAGGGAGAAGAUAACUAGGCAGAAUAUCUUAUGAUCCUUGUGGGAAGGAGAACUCUCAGGAGAAACUGCAGAAUAUUUUUAGUUCCU
This is a long non-coding RNA of Artibeus jamaicensis (Jamaican fruit-eating bat), 344 nucleotides long. RefSeq lists it as uncharacterized. The record is from RefSeq and is a predicted model, not a curated record. The transcript is spliced from 3 exons. NCBI's taxonomy places the organism in Eukaryota, Metazoa, Chordata, Mammalia, Chiroptera, Phyllostomidae.